Molecule: long non-coding RNA, 464 nt
Filed under: Elaeis guineensis (African oil palm)
Lineage: Eukaryota; Viridiplantae; Streptophyta; Magnoliopsida; Arecales; Arecaceae
Description: long non-coding RNA (EGUI_LNC039815)
Source: RNAcentral
CCGGCUUUCACGGAAGCUUUCAAUGCAAACCCAAGAUGAGAUGACUUCCUCAAGGUGACGAAAGCUCAGACCUCCGUGCUCGAGCCCUGAUGGGACACCAAACCCAAGCGGCCCCAGACGAACCUGCGGCCACGGGCGAAAAAGAUGGGUCGAUACGUUGACAAUCGGGUACCUCCGAAUAAUACAAAGGUUGAAAAGAAGCUCGGCAAACGAUAAUUCAACACAUGAGUAAAAGAGGCGAGCUGACGUUACAACCAUCGGUAACCUACGGACGACGUUAAAAAAAGGAGGAGAAGGGAAUACAACAAUAACAACGGUAAAGAAAAAAGUUCGACAGACAACGAUUCGACGUAAAGUACGGACGAGGUAACAAAAUCACCUUCUCAUUUUUCGAAUAACAAGAUGUACGUUACAAGACCCGGAGGGUCAGAAAAGAAUACAUUAUUACAAGGCUCGAAAACACG